GACGAACGCUGGCGGCGUGCUUAACACAUGCAAGUCGAACGAUGAAGCCAGCUUGCUGGUGGAUUAGUGGCGAACGGGUGAGUAACACGUGAGUAACCUGCCCUUGACUCUGGGAUAAGCGUUGGAAACGACGUCUAAUACCGGAUAUGACGUGCGGCCGCAUGGUCUGUACGUGGAAAGAUUUUUGGUUGAGGAUGGACUCGCGGCCUAUCAGGUAGUUGGUGUGGUAAUGGCGCACCAAGCCUACGACGGGUAGCCGGCCUGAGAGGGUGACCGGCCACACUGGGACUGAGACACGGCCCAGACUCCUACGGGAGGCAG
This 321-nucleotide ribosomal RNA is filed under the name uncultured Actinomycetes bacterium. RNAcentral describes it as "bacterial SSU rRNA". It matches the Rfam family "Bacterial small subunit ribosomal RNA", at positions 28 to 351 of the family's 1533-position model. Lineage: Bacteria; Bacillati; Actinomycetota; Actinomycetes. The record is from RNAcentral.